GCUCACAACACUUGCUUUUUCUUUCUAUAGCUUUUUCUCCCUUUGCUUGGAAAAUAAUGACUCCCGUAAGAAUCCAUGGUUUCUUUAGUGAGUACCCCACACGUGUUUUCUUUUUGAAUACCUUUCAUUACAUUUCUUUCACCGAAGGAUCCAAGAAAGCUCACAACACUUGCUUUUUCUUUCUAUAGCCUUUUCUCCCUUUGCUUGGAAAAUAAUGACUCCCGUAAGAAUCCAUGGUUUCUUUAGUGAGUACCCCACACGUGUUUUCUUUUUGAAUACCUUUAAUAGACAAUUUGUUGCUUGCAGGAAUAAUUGCCAUGCACAUCAUGAUGUGGAUCGCACAUGACCAAAAGAGGCCAGAGACACUCAAUUGGGUCAACUCAGUGUUAAGAACGUGUGACGCACAUAACACAAGGAAGAAUGGAUGUUCGUUCCCAUGGAGAAGCUUGGGAAUCACAUGAUUUACUUCUCCGCGUUUAUCACGUAAGCUUUGAUGUAGUCGUUCAGUAUAAUUCCCAUGGAGAAGAUAAGAAGCUUCUCCGCGUUUAUCACGUAAUCUAAUAUUGAAUUAACUUUAAAAUCAUAUGAAAAGAUUAAUAAUUUUGAUAAAUAUUAGACGAGAAGUGUUGUUUCCCUAAAGACAAAGGUCCGCCGCACCAAGCCUCUGUUUCUCUAGCCCGACACCCUCCUUUUCUCUCUCUCUUGAUCUGCACCUUCACUCACCGUGGAACGUCCACCUCCUGUUCUCAAUUUUUUACGCUGGAAAGAAAUUUUAUGGGGUUGUAUUCUCGCAAUUCGUCUCGGGAUUAAAAAAUGGGGAAUAUUUAUGAUUUGUUUGAUCUAAAGGGGAAUAUUAAGAGCUGUUUAUGUGGAGUAUUUGAGACUCUUUAGGCAAACAAGUCUCUGGCUUCUAUUGGAUGUGGUAUAAGUUGAUGCUAUUGAAUCAUUGAUGGGAAGGUUUCUUUACCUAUCAUAAAAAAAUAAAUAAAUAAAUAAAAAUGAAAAGAAAAAAAAAAACAAGGGUUUCUGGUACAAAAGUUUAGAAGCUGUUUCGCGGAACUAGAGUUUACAAUCUAAUCUUAACUUGCUAUGCUCAUUUUAACUUGCUAAAUUGACUAAAAUACUUGCAUCUAGUCAAUGCAGUGCUCAUAAGGCACGCAGGAACCAUUGCGUAAAAAGAAGUGCUAAAUCAUAUUAUCAUUGUUUCUUAAGGAUUCUAUAGUGUCUAUAGGUCUAGGUGAUACGAGACCACAAAGGGAAUGUGUUGAGAUUCUUUCAACUUGAAAACCAUUAAGGAAGACAGCUUGAAAUCUCUGCGUGGUGUAUUACCAUUCCUUUAUUGUUUAAGUUUCUAGACUUCCCAUUCUGUAAUUUAGAAACAUUUUUUCUUUUGUAAAUACAUUCUUAGAUAAAAAGCUAAAUGCCUUACUUGCCUUUCCAUUCUGUAAUUUAGAAACAUUUUCUCUUCUGGAAAUACAUUCUUACAUAAAAAAGUUCACUGCAUUACUUGCUUCCCACAGUUUAUUUAUCCUCACUAACAUGUUAGUAUUGCAGUUUCUCCACCUCUCAGUGUCUUUCUCACCGUUUUUGCUUCUGUGCAUGGAAGAUUACAUGUUGAACCUUGACCAAAGUAGUCCAUCCUGUCUGGAUUUGAUUCAAGAACUGCAUAUAUUUAUAUUGUUUGGAAUUGUUCACUGGAUAAGGAUUGUUUGUGGAAGUCAAACUUCUGGUUGUCAAAAAAUAUAUAAAACUGAAAAGUGAGAUGAGAUGCAACAGAAAUGUUUUUUUUUCCCCUGGGUUAGACUUAUUGAUUUAUGUAGCUAGUUGGAAAGUACUAUAAUGGUUUGAAUAAAGAGAGAAAUACAGGAGUAUUUUGUGCUAAGGUGUUUUGGUUGGUCAAGUUUCGCUUCAAGGAGUUUGUGCUGUUGUAAAUAGGAUUAGUUAUUCAUUGUCCAAAGAAAAACAAGAAUUAAAUGAUAUUCUGGAGGAGAAUUUCAGUUGGAAAAUGUAUGAGCUGCAAUAGUCUAAACAUCAUUGAAAAAUGCAUUAGGAAUUAAGCUUAUCAUUUCUUGAAAAAUUUGGAAUUAAAGAUGUUUAUGAUUGUUCUCAAUUAUGAGAUCAUUUGCUAGGUUGAAGAACAGAAACCCAAGAAGAAGGCUCAUAGUGAAAAGGAGCCCCGGAUGAAGCACCAUCAUAGCUGUUUAAAGAAUCAAAUGUAUUCAUCAUCCAGGAAACAAUCAGAUUUAGAAAAUGUCACUGCAGAAGGGGAAAAGGGGAAGACUAGUAGACAGAAAUCUUGAUGUUGUAGUAUAGCCUCAUAAAUUGAGCAAAUGGAAUUAAAGUCUAAAAUAGCAUGUGUUAAAGUAGAAAAAGAUUCAGAAAGUUAGUUAUUUUCUGUUAUUGUCUUUCAUUAGUAUAAAUACAUUCAGUACUUGUAAUUAAUUCAUUCACACGAAAGGUUUUCAUUUCAUUUUUCCUCUGCUUCUAUUCUGUCUACAUCAGAAAAUUGACAUGGUAUCAGAUUGAAAAUCAUUCUUGCUUCUGCAAAUUCAUCUUCUCAUCUCUAAAUCUUUGAAUUCAUGAAAUCUGCAUUACAAAAUUCUGCUCGAGAAUUUUUGUAGUUGUCUUCUUCGUCUUCUUUCAUUUCUUGCACUUUCUUGAAUAGAUUCCCGAAAUGGAUUCUACCAAUUCUGUCACUUCUUCUCGCUCUGUCAUAAAUCUCUCAGAUUAUUCCUCUAGUCCUUAUUAUCUACAUCCAAAUGACAAACCUGAUGCCCUCCUCGUAUCAGAAAUUUUUUUUGGUGAUAAUUACAUUGCAUGGAGUCGAUCAAUCACCAUGGCAUUGACUGUCAAGAACAAGGUGGCAUUCAUUAAUGGUUCGAUUGCUGCUACUCCUGCUGAUCAACUUGUUCUUCAUACUGCUUGGCUGCGUGUUAACAAUUUGAAAAUUGACACUUGAUGUUGACGAAAAGGAAAGAGAAGGCAGAGGGUAUUGUGAUUCAAGUCAUCACAAUGGGAUUGAGUCACACUUCAAGCGCCACAAUGUUGCUCCCAAACUUUCAGAGGAAGAGCGGGCUACUAGGCGGUAUGAGAUGCAAGUGGAUGCUGAACUGCAUGAAGAGCAAAGAUGGAAACGUUUGAGGAAGGCUGAGGAGGACGAUGGGUGAGAAACUACCCAUGCCAGCUUAUCUAGCGGCAGAAAUUUCUUGGAUGCUGCUCAGAAAAGUAUCUAUGGUGCUGAAAAAGGGGGAAGCUGGGUAGGUCUGCAGUUGAUUGCUGCCUAUCCUGAAUAGUUUUAGGUGAUAACUCCAGGUUUGCUUCUCCGCCUUGGCCCCCCUGCACAUGGGGUAUCUCUCAAGUAUUAGCUUUGAACCAUGUAUUGAAAUAUGAAUAGGGCGAAGUGAUAAUCGCAUUCUUUCACAAUUUACUUCUCCUUAGGGGCUAAUACCUUCCAGUAAUACUUGGCUUGAAAAUGAGGUGCCAAUUACUGACAUCUCCAAGUGUAAAUGUUAUAUAACACUCGCCAUGUGUGUGUUCUAUCACGUUUACAAAUUAAGGAUGGCAAUGAAAAUUCAACCACUUCUUAAGGAAUUGAUUGGUUUGUUCUGUAUC
Molecule: RNA transcript, 3612 nt
Organism: Carya illinoinensis
Lineage: Eukaryota; Viridiplantae; Streptophyta; Magnoliopsida; Fagales; Juglandaceae
Exons: 2
Source: RefSeq, a predicted model, not a curated record